RNAcentral lists this transfer RNA (75 nucleotides) under Chloroflexota bacterium. RNAcentral describes it as "tRNA-Pro". It matches the Rfam family "tRNA". Rfam says of the family: Transfer RNA (tRNA) molecules are approximately 80 nucleotides in length. Their secondary structure includes four short double-helical elements and three loops (D, anti-codon, and T loops). Lineage: Bacteria; Bacillati; Chloroflexota. The record is from RNAcentral.
CGGGGUGUGGCGCAACGGUAGCGCACGUGCUUUGGGAGUACGAGGUUGCGGGUUCGAAUCCCGCCACCCCGACCA